RNAcentral lists this ribosomal RNA (467 nucleotides) under uncultured bacterium. RNAcentral describes it as "partial 16S ribosomal RNA". It matches the Rfam family "Bacterial small subunit ribosomal RNA", at positions 29 to 507 of the family's 1533-position model. The record is from RNAcentral.
ACGAACGCUGGCGGCGUGCUUAACGCAUGCAAGUCGAACGGAAAGACCCUGCUUUUGUGGGGUGCUCGAGUGGCGAACGGGUGAGUAACACGUGAGUAACCUGCCCUUGACUUUGGGAUAACUUCAGGAAACUGGGGCUAAUACCGGAUAGGAGCUCCUGCUGCAUGGUGGGGGUUGGAAAGUUUCGGCGGUUGGGGAUGGACUCGCGGCUUAUCAGCUUGUUGGUGGGGUAGUGGCUUACCAAGGCUUUGACGGGUAGCCGGCCUGAGAGGGUGACCGGCCACAUUGGGACUGAGAUACGGCCCAGACUCCUACGGGAGGCAGCAGUGGGGAAUAUUGCACAAUGGGCGGAAGCCUGAUGCAGCAACGCCGCGUGCGGGAUGACGGCCUUCGGGUUGUAAACCGCUUUCGCCUGUGACGAAGCGUGAGUGACGGUAAUGGGUAAAGAAGCACCGGCUAACUACGUG